Molecule: ribosomal RNA, 253 nt
Filed under: uncultured bacterium
Lineage: Bacteria
Description: partial 16S ribosomal RNA
Rfam family: Bacterial small subunit ribosomal RNA
Source: RNAcentral
UACGUAGGGGGCAAGCGUUGUCCGGAAUCAUUGGGCGUAAAGCGCGUGUAGGCGGUUCGAUAAGUCUGCUGUGAAAGUCCAGGGCUCAACCCUGGGAUGCCGGUGGAUACUGUCGGGCUAGAGUACGGAAGAGGCGAGUGGAAUUCCCGGUGUAGCGGUGAAAUGCGCAGAUAUCGGGAGGAACACCAAUUGCGAAGGCAGCUCGCUGGGACGUCACUGACGCUGAGACGCGAAAGCGUGGGGAGCGAACAGG